AGUCGAGGGGCAGCAUGGUCUUAGCUUGCUAAGGCCGAUGGCGACCGGCGCACGGGUGAGUAACACGUAUCCAACCUGCCGUCUACUCUUGGACAGCCUUCUGAAAGGAAGAUUAAUACAAGAUGGCAUCAUGAGUCCGCAUGUUCACAUGAUUAAAGGUAUUCCGGUAGACGAUGGGGAUGCGUUCCAUUAGAUAGUAGGCGGGGUAACGGCCCACCUAGUCUUCGAUGGAUAGGGGUUCUGAGAGGAAGGUCCCCCACAUUGGAACUGAGACACGGUCCAAACUCCUACGGGAGGCAGCAGUGAGGAAUAUUGGUCAAUGGGCGAGAGCCUGAACCAGCCAAGUAGCGUGAAGGAUGACUGCCCUAUGGGUUGUAAACUUCUUUUAUAAAGGAAUAAAGUCGGGUAUGNAUACCCGUUUGCAUGUACUUUAUGAAUAAGGAUCGGCUAACUCCGUGCCAGCAGCCGCGGUAAUACGGAGGAUCCGAGCGUUAUCCGGAUUUAUUGGGUUUAAAGGGAGCGUAGAUGGAUGUUUAAGUCAGUUGUGAAAGUUUGCGGCUCAACCGUAAAAUUGCAGUUGAUACUGGAUAUCUUGAGUGCAGUUGAGGCAGGCGGAAUUCGUGGUGUAGCGGUGAAAUGCUUAGAUAUCACGAAGAACUCCGAUUGCGAAGGCAGCCUGCUAAGCUGCAACUGACAUUGAGGCUCGAAAGUGUGGGUAUCAAACAGGAUUAGAUACCCUGGUAGUCCACACGGUAAACGAUGAAUACUCGCUGUUUGCGAUAUACGGCAAGCGGCCAAGCGAAAGCGUUAAGUAUUCCACCUGGGGAGUACGCCGGCAACGGUGAAACUCAAAGGAAUUGACGGGGGCCCGCACAAGCGGAGGAACAUGUGGUUUAAUUCGAUGAUACGCGAGGAACCUUACCCCGGCCUUAAAUUGCAGAUGAAUUACGGUGAAAGCCGUAAGCCGCAAGGCAUCUGUGAAGGUGCUGCAUGGUUGUCGUCAGCUCGUGCCGUGAGGUGUCGGCUUAAGUGCCAUAACGAGCGCAACCCUUGUUGUCAGUUACUAACAGGUUCCGCUGAGGACUCUGACAAGACUGCCAUCGUAAGAUGUGAGGAAGGUGGGGAUGACGUCAAAUCAGCACGGCCCUUACGUCCGGGGCUACACACGUGUUACAAUGGGGGGUACAGAGGGCCGCUACCACGCGAGUGGAUGCCAAUCCCAAAAACCUCUCUCAGUUCGGACUGGAGUCUGCAACCCGACUCCACGAAGCUGGAUUCGCUAGUAAUCGCGCAUCAGCCACGGCGCGGUGAAUACGUUCCCGGGCCUUGUACACACCGCCCGUCAAGUCCAUGGGAGCCGGGGGUACCUGAAGUGCGUAACCGCGAGGAG
RNAcentral lists this ribosomal RNA (1390 nucleotides) under bacterium NLAE-zl-P774. RNAcentral's name for it is "16S ribosomal RNA". It matches the Rfam family "Bacterial small subunit ribosomal RNA". The record is from RNAcentral.